Molecule: long non-coding RNA, 796 nt
Filed under: Brassica rapa (field mustard)
Lineage: Eukaryota; Viridiplantae; Streptophyta; Magnoliopsida; Brassicales; Brassicaceae
Description: long non-coding RNA (BRAP_LNC005138)
Source: RNAcentral
AAGUAAUCGAUUAUAAAAAAAUUAUUUUUUUGUCUUCGUUUUCUGUGACUAAAUGAUUAAAUAUAUACCAAGAUAUAAUAACAAAAUUAUAAAGCAUCCAAAUAUUCAUUUGGUAUUAGCUACACCAGAUCUAUAACUCCACAUGAAAAUAUAUAAUUAAAAAAUAAAAUAAUUUGUAAAUAUAUUACUAUUUUCAUAAAAAAAUAAUCCAAUACAAAUCAAAUACAAUAAAUUUAUAUGAUAAGAAAUAUGUGAUAUAAAUGAAGGUUCGAAAAACAAAAAAAAAAUAACUAAGGUAAUAAAUAAAAAUAUUAUGUUUAGAAAUGUCAUAUUAAACAAUUUUUAAUAGUGUAUAUUAUAAAUAUAUAUUUUUAUUUACACAAAAAAAUUACUUAUAAAAGUGAAAUAAAUUCUGUGCGGGCACACUGGUCAAGUUAUAGUAUAUGAUUAAAAUUCAUCAUAAGAUUACUUCCUAAUUUUUGACAAAUUUCAGUUCAAUUUAAUAAUUUGAUUUAAAAUUAUGUAACUAAGAAAAACAAAAAGGGGGUUUUGCAGAGUAUUUUUUUAGACACGAGGCUAAAAGGAUGAUAAAGGUAGAGCUGGCCUUCACUAGAACACACAUCCAACAUGUGCCUUCUAGUAUUCACAAUUUAUGUAUUUUAGAGACAUUUAUUUAUGCAAAACAUUGCUAGCUCUAUUGCUAAUGUGACAAUAUUAUCUUCGUAAGAUAUCAUUUUUGUAAUAAAUUAACAGGUUAAUGAGCCAACAAAGUAGCUUGGAGCCCACUCAACGCCAG